GGCUUUUAGCGUCUUCAGUGUGCCAGAGACACGAGUCACGUAUUAAGCUCCUCCGUAAGUCGACUUUUAAAAUGAUUAACUAACCAUAUAAGGCUUUGAAGUGCUCCCUCAUCUCUAACGUGCAUGCAGCUCACACUCUUCUAAGCAGAGAAAAGAAAGAAGAAAAUGCUUCGGGGAAAAAAAUUAUUUAUCUUUGAAGCUGGAAAUACAAAUGGGGCUCAUCGUCGCAUUGUUGAAAGGUUGAAAGAUGUUGGCCAAGCAGAGGUGAACGCUCUAAAUGAAUGUGACUAUCUUCUGGUUUUCUGUCCUGUUGUUUCACGAGUCGGAACGGACAUCGGAGAGGCUCUGGACAACAUGCCCCGUGGUAAACCAGUAAUACUGGUGGUGAUGCAUCCCACCUUCAAUCCAGAUUAUGUUGUAGCUGAAAGCCGGAGACAAGUGACCAACCCAAAUGUCUGCCUCACUGUGGACUGUCUGUUUCGUGAUGGCAAGCUCCUCGACUCUAAACUUAACGAUAAGAUGUGGAAUGAAAUAGAAGAACUUUUGGAAGUUUCCCCUUUCCAGGUUUCGUGGUUCAGAACGAUAAAAUAUUUGAUGAAUCCUCGAGUACUUGGGAUUGCUGCUCUAACUGCUGUAGUGAUCUAUGUGUAUUUCAACAGUCCUGAUAUAAAAAAGAAAAUAGGGCUGUGAGAGGAGUCCCUGGAUAGCAAAAUCAAAAGGAAUCUAUUUAUUAAGGUCAAGGAGUCACAUGGCUAAGUUCAAGGCCAAGUUGGAAAUAAUUACAUAAUCACAUAUUUUAGGUAAUCGAUUCAGCAACAACAACAACAAUAACAAUAACAACAAUAAUAAGGAGAAAGAUUAUUAGGACAUUAUAGGACAUUUUUCUAGCCAUGUCAUUAAUGCAGACAGCAAACUAGAUGCACAUUUUCAUGAAAACAAAUUGUCCUAUAAAACAACACUGUAUAUCUGUGCACUGCUGUGCUGAUAUACAGUGUUAUUUUACUAAAAUCAUUUCACACAUCAGGGGUAUCUUGUUGGUUAUAUUGCAACUUGAUGAAGCUAUAAAUAAAAGCAAAUCAUCUCUAUGAUGUAAUUCUGCUGAUUUGUCCAAAUAAUCUUAUUAAAACUAAAUUUGUGAAUAACAAAUUCAAAUGUUUCAUAUUUCUGUUGCUUGUCUAUGUGAGUAAACUCUUACUUAACAUAACAUCCUUUAACCAGCAAUACCUUGACUGCAUUUUGCCUGUAAUUUAUACAGACAUGUUACAUUUUGUUUAUAUCUGUUAUUGAAUUGUAUUUUUGUUGUAUUACUUUCACAUCAGUAAAUAAUGGGGUGCAACUCCAAGGUGCAACUUUCCUACCUUCUGGAAAUAUUUGUUUAUUUACAGCUGAGUUGAAUUGCACAAACCACUGUAAAUAAAUGUAAAUAAAACAGGAAAAGAGUUGAAAUGUUUUAGCAUUAACUGUCCUAAACAUAAAAAAUGAAGUCCUUCCUUUGAGUCAAAAACAACAGCAGGGUGUGAUAUAGAGCGGGACAACCUUAUGAAUGACAAGUUGAUACCAUAUGAACAUGCACUGUGUUUCUAAUCAAUCAGUGUGGCUACAUGAAUCUCCUAUAUGUAGUAUUUUUUCUUAGGUAAUGUAAAUAUAAACAUAUUUGGAUCUGAUAUUUGUCAGAUCUGGACUCAAAACGUGAAUCUGAUAUCAGUGAAAACAAUGUGAUAUGGCCAAUCUAUUCAAAUUACUAUCAUAUUGUUUACUAGACCAUGCAGAAUCAGCAUCAGUAACCAAGAGAGCUGAGACAACACAGAGGAAAAUGAAGGCUAAGUGAAAGGCAUUUCACUGUAGCUAACCACCAGUAUUUACUUGCAUGUUGGCAAAUGUUUUUAACUUAAGAGCAACUGUGGUCAAGUGAGCUGACACUGCUAUUUCUCUCUCUCGCUCACUCUCACUGUCCGUGCAUGUAGUGACAAUAAAUUCUUUUACUGCACUUACAGUAACAUAACAUGUUGUCCCCAAGUGUGUGAGUUUUAUUUAAUGUCAGCUGUUGCAUGUGUUUGUGUGCAUGUGUGUAUGAUGGUAUGAACAGUAAAAGGACUGAGAAAAGGAAAGAAGAAACUAGCGUGACUAUAAAUCAUAAAGUGAACACCUUUUGUUCAUUUUUUAAUUUAAAUAUUUUUGUCCUGAUGUCACUAAUAAAUAAUUAUUAGGUACAUUUACAUUCAAAACAAAUUAGGGAAGUAAUAUUUAUGGUGAGACUGACAUUGCCUGAAACAUUAAAAAAAACAAAGCUUGAUUAACAGCGUAAUUAACCUUGGUACUGCAUACUCGUUAUCGGUAGAUACCUGAAACCACUAUGCUGGUAUGAGGACAGAGUAAAAGGAAUACAAGUUGACAUCACUUGUCUCUUAGUUAGAAUAAAUAUAAUAAAUUAGAUUUCAGUGACACAUGAAGUUGGUGUUUGAAGACUGACUUCAGUCCAAUCAGAGCCACUUUCAGAUUGUCUUUUUACAACACUGCCACCCAGUGGAUAUAUUUGUCAUAUUUCUUGAGAAGAACAAACAGUAAAAGUUGUUGUGAAAGCAUGGGUAAAUAUUAACUGCGUACACCUACGUGUACACCUACGCUAUAUGGUGCAAUUAACCCCAAAACCCCAAACAAUCAUGUAGUUUGAAGACCCCAACAUACUGCUGGUGCCUUUGUAUUGCACACUAUAGUAACUAAAUUUCCUCCGCUGCUGCUGUGCUCUUAUCUUAUUUCCUUCAGAACACAGUUAUGUCUGCAGUUCCUGUUUCGUGACUGACACGUUGCCUUCAACAAACAGUGGAAGGAAGACUGGACGUGGGGGAGGGUGUUCAUUGGUCUUGAGCGUUUGGUAAGAUAUGGCAGCGACACCAACAGCUUAUCAAAGUACUUUAAACACAAAUGAAGAAAAUGCUUUGGGGAAAAAGUUCUUCGUCUUCGUGGCAGGAACGACAAAUGGGACUCAUCAAUUCAUUGUUGAAAAGAUGAUCAGCUUUGGCCAAACAGAGGUGAAGUUUCUAGAAGAAUGUGACUACAUUCUGGUUUUCUGUCCUGUUGUUUCACGAGUUGGAACAGACAUCGCAGAUGCCCUGAGCACCAUGCCCCGUGGUAAAUCAGCAAUUCUGGUAGUGAUGCAUCAUACCUUCGAUAGUAAUUGUGUCGUGGCUGAAAGCCGGAGACAGGUGGAUGACCCACAUGUCCGCCUCACUGUGGAUUGUUUGUUUCAUGAAGGCAAACUCCUGAAUUCCAACCAGAAUGAGAUCAUGUGGCAUGAGGUGAAGAAAUUUUUGCGGGUUCCUGCUAUUCAGAUGUCUCCCCGUUGGAACUUGAAUCGCCGUUGGCUGAUACCUUUGACAGUGGUUAUAUCAGUUGGUGUAGUUUUGGGUGUGAUAUUACCUGUAUUAAUGAUAGAAAUGCAUAAAGGAAAGUAGCUGUAAAUGCCAGUGAAAGCUGAUGUGGGCGUUUGUAGGGCUGAGUCUCUUGAUCAGUUAGCAAAACUAGAAUAGAAGUGAAAUGAUGUAAACGCUUAUAUUAUAUAUUAUAGAUUAUACUGAUAGAUAUGUGAACAAAUUCACUUUAUUUGAUGAUAAUAUGAAAUUAUGUGAUUUUAUAUGAAGUUUGUAGUUUGAGAGUGCGUGUGUGUGUGUGUUGGGGUAAAAUGUAAUCACUUUUGUUAAUAAUAAUAAUAAUAAUAAUGAUAUAUUUAUUAUGUUAAUAAUUAUUCUGCUUUAUUUGAUUAUAAUGUUGAGAUUAUAUAAUUUGUCAAGUACAAAUUAAAUCAGGUGUAUAUGUGUGUGUUUUCUGUAUUCAUUUAUUUAUCUCUUUGUUUCAAUAGUUUAUUUAUUAAUUUUAUAAAAAAUAAAGCGAGAAAACUCAUAUGCAGUAUACACCUUUAGCAGUGAUACUUUUACUACAUUUUCCCAAAAAUUUACUCAUAGAUGUGACCUUUAGUUUACAUCGCCUGCUUUGGUUUAGUUUUUUCUUGAAUUACUUUCCAAAAAAAUGAAACAUAUAAAAUUAGAUGAAACCUUUCUUUUUGCUGGAAAUACUUGGUUAUUUACAGUGUUCUGAUCAGUAUAAAACACUGGUAAUUAAACAGAAAUAUAUAUAUUUUUUAGCAUUUAUUGAGACAGUUUAUGUUCACAUGUUCUGUUGUAUCUUUCAAAGUUCUGUUAUUUUAAGAAGAAAACAAUGCAUUGCUGGACUGUGAAAACUCUUUUUGGUUUGUCAUUAUACUUUUUUCUUGCAGGCUGUCACAAAUAUUAACAAGUUGUGGAUUUUCCUCUAUAGGUAUUUUACAGAAGAUGAAUAGUUAUUCAAUCAGCUAACAAUUAUAAUCACAUCUUGGCAGCCCUGUCUGCUUUGAAAAAAGCAAAAAAAAAAAAUCUUCUGACAUCAACGCUUUAGUACAUGAUCAUUAAGGUCUCUUUCAUGAAUGGUUUAUAGUUGCAAUAGCAAUAUCAAAUUUUGAGGUGAUUAGAGAUAAUACAAACAAAUGAAUACCACAAACCAUUUGAACAACAUUAGAUUAAUUGGUAGAAAAUGACCAAUAAAAGGAUCAGAGUUAUAGCACCCAGACUCAAUUUAGGUAUUGCUGAAUUAGCUUUGGAGAUGACCACAUCAAUUGCAUUGGAGGGGAAAACUGUCUUCACUGUGUUUCUGUGUCACUUCAUUUUUGAUGACAAAGUUGAGCUACUGCUUGAAUGUGCUCAACAUGAGGGCAUAAGAAAGCAGUGAGAAGUGUUAAAAGAUGUACAUGACUUCCAGGUGUACAGUCCCUGCCUUAGGAUGAUAAAGCAGAGUAUGCUUUAUGAUGGGCCUGUGCUAUGAUUGACAAGUCAAUGCCAUAUGAGAAUACAGUGUGUUUUACAGUCAGAUUCAGCCCUUGCUUCUCAUGUGACUUUUCAAAGCACCCGGUUGGAACUGAGUGUGGCAUCAGUGUGGCUACAUGCAACUUUCAUACAAAGUGUAUGUUCAGCUCUUUCUUUUCUAUUAAAUACAGUAAUCUUUAGAAAGUACAGAGGCACCAAUCCAAUUUUGUGAACAUACUGUAUAUUUCAAAUGCACAAUUGACAUUGUUUUAUGCUGUAACAAACACUUUUGUGGUUUGUUCCUCUCAUGAAAUAGUGUGUCCACUAGGUGGAGAUGCUGUAAAAAGAUGUCAUGUGAAAGGGGAAAUGAACUGGAAUAACGCCUGUCUUCAGAUAGCAGCAUCAUGUGACACUAAAAGUACCUGUUUUCUGACUGACCCUUUGCAAAUCAAAAGUGAAAGUACUGGAAUAGACAAGCAUUCAUUGUUUUUCAGUGUGGUGAAGAAUAUGUCAGACACAAGAGAUUACCAAAGGUUAUUAGACCAGGAAGAAGUAGAGCAAGUUUCAUGGGAAACAUUCCAUGUCUGGUUGACGGGAAGAACAAAUGAGGCUCAUUAUCCCAUUAUUGAAAUGCUCAAAAGAAUUGGUCAAACUCAGGUGAAUUCUCCAGAAGAAUGUGACUAUCUUCUGGUUUUCUGUCCUAUUGUUUCACGAGUUGGAACAGACAUCGAAGAGGCCCUGAACAACCUGCCUUGUAGUAAACCAGUGAUUCUGGUGGUGAUGCAUCAUACUUUCAAUCCUCAUUCUGUUGUAUCUGAAAGUAAGAGACAGGUGAACAACCCAAACGUUCAUCUCACUGUGGACUGUCUGUUUUAUGAGGACAAACUCCUGAACUGCAAACUCAAUGAUAACAUAGAAAAAACACUCCUCAAGCUUUUUAAACUUUCAGUUUAUCAGAUGAUUUUGUGGUAUCUGAGGAGUCUUUGGACAUGCUGUUGUAUUACAAUAAAAUGAUCCAUCAGGAAGUCACUGUGCAACUAAAUUAAACGUAACCUUUCUUGAUUGUGCUGUUAUUACCUUUAAUACUUUAUAGUUAUGAAGGCUGGUAUAGAUUUUAGUUUUGGGGUAGAAUUACUGAUCUAUACUGUUUGUUAUGUAUCUAUCACUGUUUUAUAUCUGGGUCACAAUAGAGGUGUAAUGUUGUAAACAUACCAGAUCUGCAGAUAAUCUUUACGCACUGUGUGAAGAUGAAUUUAUAUAUAUGUAUAAGAAAAAAAUGAAUAAAAAAAAGAGCUUAAAGAUAGAAAAUGAGUUCUUAAUGAUUUACUCCUUAUUACUCCGUAAUACUGCAGACAUGUUAAAAGGCUAAAAGUUCAUUAAAAAGAUGUUUUGGUUGCUUUGGUUGGUUUGGAUGCUUUAUAAACAUGCAUCUUUCACCGGGCUGCAUGGCGCUAACGCUUUAACGAGCUAACCGCACUAACGCGUUGACAUUGUGCAGCCCCAUGCACGGGGUGAUCCUCGCUAACUCGCUAACGGAGAAUUGCCACGUUAUGCAAUUAUGGCGUUAACAUCAUUUUAACGGGAUUAACGCUGACAGCACUAAUGAAAACAGAUCCGUUCAUCGACAGUGUGCCGGUAAUCCGGUGCGCAUUAUGGUCCGAAAAAUACGGUAUACAUGUAUGAUGUUUUAAGAAAGAUCUGCUGAACAGUCUGUUGAUUAAUCAAUAAUAUUAUAGUACACCUUCUUACAAAAUAAUGUGUCUUUUAAUAUUUGAGCAACCUACCAGUGUGCUCAUGAGACAUGUUCUGAGACAUGUCCAGUAAGACAUGUUCUGACAAUUCAGCUGAAUGUUCAUGGAGGGUGUCACAUCAAGCCCAGCACUAGCCAAGGUCUAAUAAGUAUCAGAACCACUAUCUGGCAUGAAACAACGAAGAUCCAUUAGCACCAUAUGUUAUCGCACUAGGAGCAUACCCUGAUAUUGCCUGGCAUGCAUACAAACUGGUGAGGAUCAUACAAACUGCUGAUUACCAUUUUGAAUUGCUGGAAUGAAAAAUGUUAAUUUGUCUAACUAGCCACGUAGCUUAGCCACGUAAUUUUCUUUCUCUUUGAUCUUUGGGAUGUUUUUGAAAUCAGCCGUGUGUAGGUAGAUCAUUUUCCCAUUAAAUAAUGUGGGAUCUUUUCAUUCCUCACAUAUUACCCAGUCCAUACAAUUAUAGAUGUCAAGCUUGAUUUUAUUUUAUUGAUAUUUAAUAUGUUUUCAAAUGGUUCCUUUUCCUUUACUGAGCAGAAACAGUUUGUUUC
Oreochromis niloticus (Nile tilapia) is the source of this 7134-nucleotide RNA transcript. RefSeq lists it as uncharacterized. Lineage: Eukaryota; Metazoa; Chordata; Actinopteri; Cichliformes; Cichlidae. The transcript is spliced from 16 exons. The record is from RefSeq and is a predicted model, not a curated record.